UUACCGCUCCUCGUGACAAUUGCUUUACAAUGCUCCUUUGGAUUGGUUUGAGUGUUAGCGGAAAAGGAAGAUCCUGCGUUUUGUUCCGACAGUUGCUUCACCAGUUGGCCUACUUGAUUUUCCAGAUUCUUAAUUGCUGCUUCGUUACUCUUCUAAUUUGCCAUGGAAGCUUGCAUGAAUUGUUGAAGAGUGUCCUCUAGCUUGGAACUUCCUCCUUGCGACUGUUGGCCUUGAGAGUUUGGGUGUUGAUAGGGACUUUGUUGCUG
RNAcentral lists this long non-coding RNA (266 nucleotides) under Lathyrus oleraceus (garden pea). RNAcentral's name for it is "Pisum sativum (pea) long non-coding RNA (PSAT_LNC036014)". Lineage: Eukaryota; Viridiplantae; Streptophyta; Magnoliopsida; Fabales; Fabaceae. The record is from RNAcentral.